GGGUUGUGAGGUUAAGCGACUAAGCGUACACGGUGGAUGCCCUGGCAGUCAGAGGCGAUGAAGGACGUGCUAAUCUGCGAUAAGCGUCGGUAAGGUGAUAUGAACCGUUAUAACCGGCGAUUUCCGAAUGGGGAAACCCAGUGUGUUUCGACACACUAUCAUUAACUGAAUCCAUAGGUUAAUGAGGCGAACCGGGGGAACUGAAACAUCUAAGUACCCCGAGGAAAAGAAAUCAACCGAGAUUCCCCCAGUAGCGGCGAGCGAACGGGGAGCAGCCCAGAGCCUGAAUCAGUGUGUGUGUUAGUGGAAGCGUCUGGAAAGGCGCGCGAUACAGGGUGACAGCCCCGUACACAAAAAUGCACAUGCUGUGAGCUCGAUGAGUAGGGCGGGACACGUGGUAUCCUGUCUGAAUAUGGGGGGACCAUCCUCCAAGGCUAAAUACUCCUGACUGACCGAUAGUGAACCAGUACCGUGAGGGAAAGGCGAAAAGAACCCCGGCGAGGGGAGUGAAAAAGAACCUGAAACCGUGUACGUACAAGCAGUGGGAGCACGCUUAGGCGUGUGACUGCGUACCUUUUGUAUAAUGGGUCAGCGACUUAUAUUCUGUAGCAAGGUUAACCGAAUAGGGGAGCCGAAGGGAAACCGAGUCUUAACUGGGCGUUAAGUUGCAGGGUAUAGACCCGAAACCCGGUGAUCUAGCCAUGGGCAGGUUGAAGGUUGGGUAACACUAACUGGAGGACCGAACCGACUAAUGUUGAAAAAUUAGCGGAUGACUUGUGGCUGGGGGUGAAAGGCCAAUCAAACCGGGAGAUAGCUGGUUCUCCCCGAAAGCUAUUUAGGUAGCGCCUCGUGAAUUCAUCUCCGGGGGUAGAGCACUGUUUCGGCAAGGGGGUCAUCCCGACUUACCAACCCGAUGCAAACUGCGAAUACCGGAGAAUGUUAUCACGGGAGACACACGGCGGGUGCUAACGUCCGUCGUGAAGAGGGAAACAACCCAGACCGCCAGCUAAGGUCCCAAAGUCAUGGUUAAGUGGGAAACGAUGUGGGAAGGCCCAGACAGCCAGGAUGUUGGCUUAGAAGCAGCCAUCAUUUAAAGAAAGCGUAAUAGCUCACUGGUCGAGUCGGCCUGCGCGGAAGAUGUAACGGGGCUAAACCAUGCACCGAAGCUGCGGCAGCGACGCUGAUGCGUUGUUGGGUAGGGGAGCGUUCUGUAAGCCUGCGAAGGUGUGCUGUGAGGCAUGCUGGAGGUAUCAGAAGUGCGAAUGCUGACAUAAGUAACGAUAAAGCGGGUGAAAAGCCCGCUCGCCGGAAGACCAAGGGUUCCUGUCCAACGUUAAUCGGGGCAGGGUGAGUCGACCCCUAAGGCGAGGCCGAAAGGCGUAGUCGAUGGGAAACAGGUUAAUAUUCCUGUACUUGGUGUUACUGCGAAGGGGGGACGGAGAAGGCUAUGUUGGCCGGGCGACGGUUGUCCCGGUUUAAGCGUGUAGGCUGGUUUUCCAGGCAAAUCCGGAAAAUCAAGGCUGAGGCGUGAUGACGAGGCACUACGGUGCUGAAGCAACAAAUGCCCUGCUUCCAGGAAAAGCCUCUAAGCAUCAGGUAACAUCAAAUCGUACCCCAAACCGACACAGGUGGUCAGGUAGAGAAUACCAAGGCGCUUGAGAGAACUCGGGUGAAGGAACUAGGCAAAAUGGUGCCGUAACUUCGGGAGAAGGCACGCUGAUAUGUAGGUGAAGCGACUUGCUCGUGGAGCUGAAAUCAGUCGAAGAUACCAGCUGGCUGCAACUGUUUAUUAAAAACACAGCACUGUGCAAACACGAAAGUGGACGUAUACGGUGUGACGCCUGCCCGGUGCCGGAAGGUUAAUUGAUGGGGUCAGCGCAAGCGAAGCUCUUGAUCGAAGCCCCGGUAAACGGCGGCCGUAACUAUAACGGUCCUAAGGUAGCGAAAUUCCUUGUCGGGUAAGUUCCGACCUGCACGAAUGGCGUAAUGAUGGCCAGGCUGUCUCCACCCGAGACUCAGUGAAAUUGAACUCGCUGUGAAGAUGCAGUGUACCCGCGGCAAGACGGAAAGACCCCGUGAACCUUUACUAUAGCUUGACACUGAACAUUGAGCCUUGAUGUGUAGGAUAGGUGGGAGGCUUUGAAGUGUGGACGCCAGUCUGCAUGGAGCCGACCUUGAAAUACCACCCUUUAAUGUUUGAUGUUCUAACGUUGACCCGUAAUCCGGGUUGCGGACAGUGUCUGGUGGGUAGUUUGACUGGGGCGGUCUCCUCCUAAAGAGUAACGGAGGAGCACGAAGGUUGGCUAAUCCUGGUCGGACAUCAGGAGGUUAGUGCAAUGGCAUAAGCCAGCUUGACUGCGAGCGUGACGGCGCGAGCAGGUGCGAAAGCAGGUCAUAGUGAUCCGGUGGUUCUGAAUGGAAGGGCCAUCGCUCAACGGAUAAAAGGUACUCCGGGGAUAACAGGCUGAUACCGCCCAAGAGUUCAUAUCGACGGCGGUGUUUGGCACCUCGAUGUCGGCUCAUCACAUCCUGGGGCUGAAGUAGGUCCCAAGGGUAUGGCUGUUCGCCAUUUAAAGUGGUACGCGAGCUGGGUUUAGAACGUCGUGAGACAGUUCGGUCCCUAUCUGCCGUGGGCGCUGGAGAACUGAGGGGGGCUGCUCCUAGUACGAGAGGACCGGAGUGGACGCAUCACUGGUGUUCGGGUUGUCAUGCCAAUGGCACUGCCCGGUAGCUAAAUGCGGAAGAGAUAAGUGCUGAAAGCAUCUAAGCACGAAACUUGCCCCGAGAUGAGUUCUCCCUGACUCCUUGAGAGUCCUGAAGGAACGUUGAAGACGACGACGUUGAUAGGCCGGGUGUGUAAGCGCAGCGAUGCGUUGAGCUAACCGGUACUAAUGAACCGUGAGGCUUAACCUUACAACGCCGAAGGUGUUU
Molecule: ribosomal RNA, 2931 nt
Filed under: Escherichia coli
Lineage: Bacteria; Pseudomonadati; Pseudomonadota; Gammaproteobacteria; Enterobacterales; Enterobacteriaceae
Description: bacterial LSU rRNA
Rfam family: Bacterial large subunit ribosomal RNA
Source: RNAcentral